CAAAUUUAAUGUUUUUAAUCAUCUUUUGCAGUUCAGCGUACAUAGGUUGAAAAGAGGUAUAAAUCCACACGAUAUUGUCAGGUACAACAUUUAUUACACGGUCACAGUUUUCCAAUACAUUUUUUACAAAAUAGGUCUUUCCACACCCGCUCGGACCCGCGAUUAAACAAGAAAAAGGAAAGAUAAACCUAGGAUCAAAUUCAAUUUCCUGCAUUUCUAAUACCCGAAAGGCAGAGUUGUUCCGUCAGCAAAGAGUCGUCUUUUGUCAUACACCACCCUAAUUUUUUUAUCAAAUGACACAUUUCUCAAUGCGAAACCCUUUUUAUCACGUCUGAUGCUGUGUUGACGGAUCUCGAUCGUGUUUCCCUCUUGUUUAUUACUCAGGUAACCCUCCACCAGCUCUCUGACACUGUCAAAGCUCACACGCUCACAAAAUUCCCGGGUCUGAGUGAUACCUUUCACACGCAUGACGACUUUCUUUUUAUUUCGUGUUUGGUACGCGUAACUCUUGGGACCCGCCGCUGCAAACUCUUGAAUGCUGUCACCAUCCAGUUCAUCCGUCAGGUCACCUAAAUAGUUACCCAGCUCUAGAGGUUUCUCACCCUCUUUGACCAGAUAGAUUAAACUAUCUGUGUCGAUGUAAAACACUCUGUCUUGUAGUUUUUCCAGAUAACUGUACAGCUUCAGUCGUGCGUGUGCUGUGGUGAAUGCUGCAAUAAAAACAUUACUCUGUUUACCUGGGGGUUGAACGUACCUGUCGGUGUAUUUCCACCUGAUGAGAGCUCUGUUGCUGUGGAGAACGGAAAAGUAUUCGACUUUGUAUUUACCUGAAAACAUGUAACUAAAGAAUUCUUUAGGAUCUGAGACAAUGGUGGUUUUAAACAAAUUAUCUCUCUGUGCAAACUUUCCCCACAAACUGUUGAGACACAAUUUAGCAACCUGUCUUUUCACGUCUGAUGCUGUGUUGACGGAUCUCGAUCGUGUUUCCCUCUUGUUUAUUACUCAGGUAACCCUCCACCAGCUCUCUGACACUGUCAAAGCUCACACGCUCACAAAAUUCCCGGGUCUGAGUGAUACCUUUCACACGCAUGACGACUUUCUUUUUAUUUCGUGUUUGGUACGCGUAACUCUUGGGACCCGCCGCUGCAAACUCUUGAAUGCUGUCACCAUCCAGUUCAUCCGUCAGGUCACCUAA
RNAcentral lists this long non-coding RNA (1195 nucleotides) under Takifugu rubripes (torafugu). RNAcentral's name for it is "lncRNA (ENSTRUG00000026247.1)". The record is from RNAcentral. Lineage: Eukaryota; Metazoa; Chordata; Actinopteri; Tetraodontiformes; Tetraodontidae.